GCGGAAUGCUUUACACAUGCAAGUCGAACGGCAGCAUAGAGAGCUUGCUCUCUGAUGGCGAGUGGCGAACGGGUGAGUAAUAUAUCGGAACGUGCCUAGUAAUGGGGAAUAACUAGCUGAAAGGUUAGCUAAUGCCGCAUACGACCUACGGGUGAAAGCAGGGGAUCUUCGGACCUUGCGUUAUUAGAGCGGCCGAUAUCUGAUUAGCUUGUUGGUGGGGUAAUGGCCUACCAAGGCGACGAUCAGUAGCUGGUCUGAGAGGACGAUCAGCCACACUGGAACUGAGACACGGUCCAGACUCCUACGGGAGGCAGCAGUGGGGAAUUUUGGACAAUGGGGGCAACCCUGAUCCAGCCAUUCCGCGUGAGUGAAGAAGGCCUUCGGGUUGUAAAGCUCUUUCGCAAGAGAAGAAAACUUGCUAUCUAAUAAAUAGUAAGUAUGACGGUAUCUUGACAAGAAGCACCGGCUAACUACGUGCCAGCAGCCGCGGUAAUACGUAGGGUGCAAGCGUUAAUCGGAAUUACUGGGCGUAAAGCGUGCGCAGGCAGUUUUAUAAGUCAGAUGUGAAAUCCCCGAGCUCAACUUGGGAACUGCGUUUGAAACUGUAAGACUAGAGUGUGUCAGAGGGGGGUAGAAUUCCAAGUGUAGCAGUGAAAUGCGUAGAGAUUUGGAGGAAUACCAAUGGCGAAGGCAGCCCCUGGGAUAACACUGA
Molecule: ribosomal RNA, 712 nt
Filed under: beta proteobacterium IMCC15297
Lineage: Bacteria; Pseudomonadati; Pseudomonadota; Betaproteobacteria
Description: bacterial SSU rRNA
Rfam family: Bacterial small subunit ribosomal RNA
Source: RNAcentral